RNAcentral lists this ribosomal RNA (270 nucleotides) under uncultured Prevotella sp. RNAcentral's name for it is "partial 16S ribosomal RNA". It matches the Rfam family "Bacterial small subunit ribosomal RNA", at positions 86 to 354 of the family's 1533-position model. Lineage: Bacteria; Pseudomonadati; Bacteroidota; Bacteroidia; Bacteroidales; Prevotellaceae. The record is from RNAcentral.
UGAUGGCGACCGGCGCACGGGUGAGUAACGCGUAUCCAACCUACCCAUUACUAGGGAAUAACCCAGCGAAAGUUGGCCUAAUGCCCUAUGUAGUCGUUUGAUCGCCUGAGAUUUCGACGAAAGAUUUAUCGGUAUUGGAUGGGGAUGCGUCUGAUUAGCUUGUUGGCGGGGUAAAGGCCCACCAAGGCAACGAUCAGUAGGGGUUCUGAGAGGAAGGUCCCCCACAUUGGAACUGAGACACGGUCCAAACUCCUACGGGAGGCAGCAGAG